This 271-nucleotide ribosomal RNA is filed under the name uncultured bacterium. Its description in RNAcentral is "partial 16S ribosomal RNA". It matches the Rfam family "Bacterial small subunit ribosomal RNA", at positions 524 to 794 of the family's 1533-position model. The record is from RNAcentral.
UACGAGGGGUGCAAGCGUUAAUCGGAAUUACUGGGCGUAAAGCGCGCGUAGGCGGCUUGAUAAGUCGGAUGUGAAAGCCCUGGGCUCAACCUGGGAACUGCAUUCGAUACUGUCGAGCUAGAGUGUGGGAGAGGGUAGUGGAAUUCCUAGUGUAGGAGUGAAAUCCGUAGAUAUUAGGAGGAACACCGGUGGCGAAGGCGGCUACCUGGACCGAUAUUGACGCUGAGACGCGAAAGCGUGGGUAGCAAACAGGAUUAGAAACCCUGGUAGU